This 57-nucleotide ribosomal RNA is filed under the name Coniochaeta sp. UOA/HCPF ENV57B. RNAcentral's name for it is "partial 28S ribosomal RNA". The record is from RNAcentral. Lineage: Eukaryota; Fungi; Ascomycota; Sordariomycetes; Coniochaetales; Coniochaetaceae.
UUGACCUCGGAUCAGGUAGGAAUACCCGCUGAACUUAGCAUAUCAAUAAGCGGAGGA